Molecule: ribosomal RNA, 393 nt
Filed under: uncultured bacterium
Lineage: Bacteria
Description: partial 16S ribosomal RNA
Rfam family: Bacterial small subunit ribosomal RNA
Source: RNAcentral
AUACGGAGGAUCCGAGCGUUAUCCGGAUUUAUUGGGUUUAAAGGGAGCGUAGGUGGACAGUUAAGUCAGUUGUGAAAGUUUGCGGCUCAACUGUAAAAUUGCAGUUGAUACUGGCUGUCUUGAGUACAGUAGAGGUGGGCGGAAUUCGUGGUGUAGCGGUGAAAUGCUUAGAUAUCACGAAGAACUCCGAUUGCGAAGGCAGCUCACUGGACUGCAACUGACACUGAUGCUCGAAAGUGUGGGUAUCAAACAGGAUUAGAUACCCUGGUAGUCCACACAGUAAACGAUGAAUACUCGCUGUUUGCGAUAUACAGUAAGCGGCCAAGCGAAAGCAUUAAGUAUUCCACCUGGGGAGUACGCCGGCAACGGUGAAACUCAAAUGAAUUGACGGGG